CAUUUUUGACUUCAUGUAUUCAGGAGAGAUUGGGGUUAUUAAUGAGUCACUUGAAAAUCAUACCAAUAGCUGCCCCUACCUGGGUUAGUUACAGAGCAUCACCCCAUUCUGGUAUGCAGUGCUCAUCUCUUAGUAGUAUGUCAGUAAAUACUUGCUGUAUGAAGGAAGGAAAGUCACUUGCAAACGUGACCAGCCUUCUAUAAAUAAACAACUUGUGAGUAGGCGGUCUCAAGAUACCUUCUGAACUAAGCUCUUACAUCUUGACUACUUUGGGGCUAGAAUGAAAAUUUUAACGCCUUCUCAAUUGCCUUCGCUGCAAUGCCCAGCGCUUCCCUUUACACCCAUGACCUCUACAGGCUUCUCUUCUUUCCGCUCAAGAACAAUGAUUGCCCACCGCUGUCUCCGCCACACGGGCUCUAGAGCCUGGGGUCAGAGGUACACGGACUUGGGCCUCCACCGCAGGCAGUGUCUCUCUCUCUAAUCUAGUCUUGGGGCUAGGGACAUCUCCCUCCUUCCCAGCAGCCUCUACCGCGACUCCAGCCCGCCCUCCUCUGCCUUGCCCUUUGCGACCCUCCCUUCUCUCACACAGCGCUCAGCAUAAAACAAGCCUUUCCCUCUCAACCCCACCGCCAGCUUUCCCGCUUCCGCCCGGCGCGUGUGGCCCGGGGCGGGGCAAGGGAGGCUCCUCCGAGUUGGCGAGGGGCGUGGGCCGUGACGUCACCGCGCCCUGACGUCGGGCAGACGUGUAGCACGGUCUCCCGGGAGACCGGGAAAGCCUUUCGCACUCGGAGUCGAGGUCUAGAGAGAUUUUCUGGGUUGGCAGUAUUUUCUUCAAUCAGAACCUGCCAAAUUUUCCUACUUGCUAUAUAAGAAGGACCCAAAGUUGGAAUACCUUUACAGAUAAAGAAGAUUAUUUUACUUCAGAACUCCCUCUGCAUAUUUUGAGAAAUUAUGGAUCGUCACAUCCCCAUGCACGUGUUACCUGAAGAAAUCCAAAAGAUGUCCCCUGAAGAAAAAGUUUGUAAGUACUGUGGAGUCAGCUAUCUAAUUCUUCACGAGUUUAAAGCUAUGGAAGAAAAAAUGAAAGCGAUGGAAAAAGAGAUGAAAUUUUAUCAAGGAAGUGUAGAUCGUGAAAAGAGACUUCAAGAAAAGCUACGGUCUCUUAGUCAAGAUUUUGAACAGUACAAAAUUGACAAUGAAUCCAAAACAGAAAGAAUUUGGGAUGUAAGUAUGCAGUUAAAAAAUCAACAAAAUGAAUUUCAGAGAGUACAGAAAGAAUUGAAUCAUUUGCAACAUGAAUUAAAUAUUAAACAGAGACAAUCACAAGCAUUCAGUCAAAGAUUGGUGGAGUACAAAUAUUUGUGGAAUAAGACUCUUUCAUUACUUACUUUUACUAAAAGGGAGCUAACCAGUAUUAAAAAUGAAGUAUAUGACAAUUUUCAAAACUGGACUUCACUGAAAGGAGAAGUUUUUCUACAAAUUAAAUCCAUAAGUGAAACAGCCUUGACAGAAAUAGAGAUACUAAAGAAAAGUUUGACAGUGUCCCAGAGAAAUAAGAUGUGCCUUGAAGAGGAAAUGAAAAAUCUGAAAUUGUUGUCAGAUGCAGCCAUACUGAGGUCUCAGCAGAUUCAGACAUCCCAACAACAGGAAGCAAACUUGCAAACCAGAUGCCAUGACUUGGAAAAAGAAGUACUAGGUUUACAAUGUCAAGUAGAGGCACUUGGGCUAAAACAUCAGAAGGCAGUGACAGAGAUUGACAACUAUAAAGAAAAGCUCAUGAAUAAAUCUAAUGAAGCUGAUGACUGUCAAAGAGAACUUAGAAAACUGAAGUUUGAAUCCAUUAUUUCUGAGUCACGGCAUACCAGAUUGCUUAAAGAGAAAGAGGAUUCUUUAAUGGCUUGUCAACAAAUAUAUAAAACUUUACAGGAAGAACUGACUGCGAAAGAAAGACAAGAAGAAGACAUAAAAAGAAGAAUUAACUUUGCAGAAAAUGAACUACAGAUAACCAAAACUCUUCUGCAUCAGACAAAGGAAGAGGUUGUAACGCUGAAAAGCGAAAGGGAAUUAAUGCUGAUUUCACAUCAGAAAAGCAUCGAGCAGCUGCAGGAAACCCUUAGACAGAAGCUGCUGAAUGAUGAUAACUGGAGAGAGAAGAUUGAAGCUGAACUUGCCAAGGAAAGAGCCCAGCAUUUAGUUGAGUUUGAGGAGCAAGCUCUGCUUUUUAAAGCAGAAGCUAAACUGGAACUUGAUAUUGAAAAGGAAAAACAUCAAGAAAUAAUCUAUAAAUAUAAGAAAGAACAAGAGGAACUAAAAAUGAAGAUAUCUGAUUUAAUCGCAAGUGCUACUAGAGAUCUAAAGCUGGAAGUGGCCACCCUUGAAGAAAAACUCCAUGAAUCUUGUAUCCGACAUACUGAAGAUUCUGAAUCAAAGGAGAAAGAAAUUGAAAACCUUAAAAAUUUGGUUGCAGAAUUUGAAGCCCGCCUGAAGAAAGAAACUGACAGUAACGAUUCCAUUUCAGAGGACUUGAGGAAGGAAAUGAAGCUGAAGUCAGAUGAGCUAGAUAGAGUAAUGCUGGCACAAACACAACUGAUGCAGCAGUUUAACCAGUCCCAGGAACAGAACACUUUUCUUCAGGAAACAGUGCGCAGGGAGUGUGAAGAACGCUUUGAACUGACAGAGGCUUUGAGCCAAGCCAGAGAACAGCUUCUGGAGCUCAGGAAGCUCAGUGGAAGUUUACCUUUGUCGCCGUGUUCCCUUAACCAGGGCAGCCUAACCUCCUCUGCUGCAGUGGUCAGCAGCCGGGGAGAGAGAAGCCUUGCAAGACUGAACUCUGGAAAAGGAAUCAAAAUCCCCAGCCUGCAUGGAGUGUCAAAACCCACCACUGCCCCAACCUCAGUUCAACCCAACAGGGUCAGCAGCUCAGGUACAUUCUUAACUCUCAAUGGCCCCCAGAUACCCAGAGUUUCUGCAACCAUCCCCACCCCUCCAGAAUUAGGACAGCUCUCGAAGGACACAGGGAAAGAUUCCAGGGAAGGCAAAUCCAACCAACCUCACCAGGUUCAAGCACUUGCCCUGGGGCCAGGGACAGGAAGGCACCUUGACUAAACAGCUUCCCAUGUGUGGGAGAGGUAAUUACCAGAGGAAGAAGAGACGAGAUUCCUUCCGCAGAUACCUCCAUCAUCAAGCCAGGCAGUGACAGCAUGACAAAGGGGACAGUGUUUUAUUUGCUUUGUGUGUUUGGGGUAACUAAGUGCUGGCCCCAUGAGGCCUGACCAGUGGGACUUUGCUAACUGUGAGGAGGCAGCCUGGAUAUAUCACAGCAAGAAGACGGUUUCCACAGGGCAUGAAGCUGGAGGGUGUUAUCUCUGUCACUGUUCACGAGGCAGCGGUGAGGUAGGCACCAUUACUUCCACGGGUGCUCACAAGGACACUGAGGCUGGGAGAAGCCCAGUGACUAACUCAAACCCCAUGACCAUGUGCUGGCAGCCUAAAACCCAGCCAGGGCUUUCCAACUCUGACUGUGCUUUGCAUUCAGUAAGCCCUGAUUUUUAGUUUCCCCCACCAGUACGACUAUACCGAUCCCUGCCUGCCAGCUCUCUCCCCAGCCAGCCCACAGGGGUCAUCUCCUUGGCAGCUGAGGCAGACAGAAGGGGCCAGACACUCAGCCAGGGCCUGGAGCCCACUGGCCCCGGGGCCCCACGUGCACUCUGGACCACAUCUCAUGCUGCCCGCCCUGCAUUCCAAACCCCGGUCACAGCUCCAGAAAGAUGCACAUUUUAAAGCAGUACUAUUGUCUGGCUUGUAAGCCUAGUUUCUGGGAGGGGGAGAGAGAGAGAGAAAAUGAAUCUCAAGCAGGCACCACACCGAAUGUGACCUUGGGAUCAUGACCUGAGGGGAAAUCAAGAGUCAGCUGUUCAACCGACUGAGCCACCCAGGCGCCCUGACCCAGCAGCCAUUUAAAGGUUAGAUGCACAAAGAGCAAAACAAAUACAGGCCACACCAAUGGUACAUUAUGGAACAGGCGGAAGCUGAACAUAAUGCUGAGAAAUGCUGGGGGGGGGGGGGGGAGGUGGGGAGGGGGAGAUACAGUUAUCAUAGGUAAGUAAGGUGGCAUCCAAAGGAUGUAAGAGAAGGCGAGGAAAGCAUCCAUCACACCUCCCUUUCCUCGUACUUUCACUAAAACUCUCACCGUGUCCCGUGCUUCGGGGCAUGCAGACACAGAAGGCACCAUCCCCGUGCUCCAAACACCUGCAAUCACGUGAGAGUGAUAGGAAUUGUGCACAAGUAAGCAAAUGACGAAAAUGUCAUUUUGAGAGGCACAGCAGGCACGUGCAACAAUGUUCGGUGAAAGGGGUGAUGCCUGCAUGCGGCGGAACUCUCACGUGACCUGGGCCUUGGAGCAUGCGCGCUGGGCGUGGGAGGUGAGUUUGCCCCGGGAGUCCAGAGAGUUACAGGGGGGUUAGGUGUCCUGUGGCCAAAAUCUCUGUAAAGAGGGUUUGGGCUUAAAGCGUUAGUCCUGGCUUGUCUUCUGGUCACUGAGCAAAACCCCCUGUGCUUCAUUUUUCUCUCUUUCCUAUUUCCAAGCAAAAAGACCAUACCUACUCUUAUGAGGAAUCACGGGCUAUGAGGAGCCCUGUGGAGCUUAAUGGCGAAACUACCCACAUUGGCAAGGUUCCAGGCAGAUGCUAGUGGUUACAACCCACAGGCUAUCAGGUGUUGUUUCCUCUCCGGUGCGUCUGCCUCACUCGGUAACAGCGACUCAGAAAACUACCCAGGCAAAAAGUCAGAUGCUUUGAAGAUGUACUAAUAUUUCAACAGCCCAAAUGUUCUCCAGGACCAAAUCUUUACCAGAGCUACUAACAAGUAGUCAGAUGGACUGCCCUGUGCACUUUCUCCUCUGACAAUGAACUCAGAGAGAGGUCAGCAGCCGGACACAGAAAGAGGAGAAGGGUCCUGAAUACACACAGACAGUUUAAUCACCCGUGAAGAAAUCCAAGAGUUGACUGAAAGUGCUUUGUCAGGAAGAGUAGAGAGGCCCCUGCCCUCAGAGAAAGGCGAGGAAGGCUGGAGGUCGCCUGGGCAGCAGAGAUGGUGGCAGACCAGAGAGGCCACGGUGGAGACACCAAGGGCCUGGUGGGAAGGUCAGUGGGAAGACUCAGAAACAGGAGGGCAGGGAGAGCCAGCACUCUCCAAAGGACCUGGCAAACAAAAGUUCCCUAGAAAGAAGAUCAAAAUUUAGCUCAGUAGGAAGGGAAGACAUUAUUUUUAAAACCACCAUAUUUACUUAAGUGUAUUCCUUCAAGUGUAUGUCAUUCCUGAUUCCAGACUCCUCAGAAUAUUUGAAAGACUGGUUUAUUCAGGCUACAUCAAUGUCCCUUGCUUACAUUUAAAAAAUCAAGGGCAAGCUAUGUUGGUAUGUGAAAGGGAAUUUAGAUGAAUGAGGGCCAACUCCCAGGCUCUGGCCUUGUAAUUACUUUCUUUGUAAGCCUGAAUACUCAAUCAGAUGGAUGCCUUCUCCACACUUUUUGUCAUAUUUAUGGAAUACCUUUAAACAAUGGAAUCUGGAAACUCCAGCAACAUCUGUGUCCAAAUAUAUCCAAGCCCGUUUAUGUUUUUAAUUGGAAAUCCAACAAUUUUAGAUGAACUAAUCCAUGGUAUCAUUGGAAGUGCAUAUUUUUUACGUAAUUCUUGAGAGCAGUUUGCAAACCAUUAAAGUAACUCGGCAUCAUGCUUUAUCUUCAAAAGAUAUCUCUCAACUGUGAUUACUAUCGGAAUGAAAUCAGGGGUAGCAUUCAAAAAAGACUGCAGCAUGAAAGGUUUGCAGAAGAAUUCUGACUCCACUGGAAAACCAUUGCUUUUAGGCCAGUUCUUCCAUUCGCCUUGGCUCAUGGUUGUUUGUUCUCAUUCCAAUUAAAGAUGCGAUUCACUGAAGAGUCUUUAACUUCGUUAAAGCAAAACUUUCUAUUAAGGUUAUCCGGCACUGGUGGGCUUCUAAUCGGACAUUCUCUGCAGGCAGGAGAAUGCUACUUUGAAAUCCUCCGGUUUUGUAUGAAGCAACUCUCCUUUCUACACAGAGACUCUCAUUUCUGUGGUCUGGCCUGGUGAAAUGUGUAUUCCUUUAUGCUCAGUUUGGUUAUUUUAGGCCCGUAUCUAUGGGCCCACUAAUUUCUAUGAGAGGAUGACUUGUGUAGAAGGAAAGUUGUGUUUUUAUUGAAUCCUUGGUGAUUAGAAAAAACUUAAACCAAUUAAGGGUUCCCAUCACCUGGAAUUUCUUAGGAGGAAGUGACUUUCCAAGGCAUGUGGGAAUUAUCAAGAAAAUAAUUUUCCCUUGAAAUGGUGUGUUGGUACACAAGAGGAGGGCUGGGCAGGAUAUCAAGAGGAAGUGGUCGCUCACACGUGAGGAAAUGAGUUGAUAUUUUCAAGGCUAGAUGAACAGGAGACCAGGGCACAUUUUCCUCAUUUACCCUUUCAUUUUAAAAAGUGGUGGAAUUCAGGUACACCUUGAUUGUUCUGGAUAAUAAAGGAUACAUGAGACAUGAAUAGAAAAACCACAAAUGGUCAGUAAAAGAAGUAAACCGGGGAUCACUUUUUCUCCUGUUUAUU
Leopardus geoffroyi (Geoffroy's cat) is the source of this 6603-nucleotide RNA transcript. It is a transcript of the gene named leucine, glutamate and lysine rich 1, with no coding region annotated. The record is from RefSeq and is a predicted model, not a curated record. The transcript is spliced from 21 exons. NCBI's taxonomy places the organism in Eukaryota, Metazoa, Chordata, Mammalia, Carnivora, Felidae.